AUCUGCCUCUCCUAUUAGUUUCCUUCUAAACUUCUAUCCUAUUCUUCAUAUAUAACUUAUAUCUAUUUCAAGUUUCUAUAACAUGUAAACUAUGAACUCUCUCAUUCAAGCUAAGUAUGUUGCUCAACCGCUUCCUUUCUUUGUUGUCUUGCCCAGAAUACUCCUUACUCGUGCUAUUAGUCUCUCAAUCAGAACCUCACAAUCCAUUUUGAUAGUUUUCGAGCAGAUAUUGGUACUCCAAGAUAUCUAAAAGGUAGAGUGCCUUUUGCAUAGCCAGCUAGCUCUAGUAAGUCUGCCUCGCAUUGGAGUUGCAUGCUCACACUGAAGAUAUUUGAUUUUGCUACAUUUGUAUAUAAUCCAUAAGCAUUGGAGAAUGUCUUUAGUCCCCCCCCCCCCCCCCCCCCCCCCCNNNNNNNNNNNNNNNNNNNNNNNNNNNNNNNNNCCCCACCUCCCCCACAGCAUAAGGAGAAUAGACUGGAAGUCCCCUUUGCUAAAUAAUAAUACAUCAUCUGCAAAGCAUAUGUGAUUCAGCCUAAGACUUUUACACUUCGCAUGAAAUCCAAACUCCUGAUGUUUUACCACCUGGUUCAUUAUUCUUGUAAAGUAUUCCAUGCAUAUGACAAUUAGAAGAGGAGAUAUAGGAACCCCUUGUCUCAGCCAUCUUCUACCUAUUAUAUUUCCAUACAACCCCCAUUCAUUGCAAUACAAUAUUUGGCAGUUGUGAUACAAGUCAUAGUCCACUGGAUAAAUGAUGUGGGAAAUCCAGUGCGUGCAACAUCUCUUCCACAAUUUCCCAUUCAAUAGUAUCAUAUGUUUUUUUCAAGUCGAUCUUUAUCAGGAAGUUACUAGUAGUGUGUUUUACAUUAUACAAUCUAACUAAAUCCUAGCAAAUAAGCACAUUCUGGGCAAUAGACCUUCCUGCCACUCUGAUUAACAUAAAUGAUAUCUGGUAGUACCUUCUUCGGUCUAUUGGAUAACAUCUUUGAAACUAUCGUGUAUAUUGUGUUGCAACAUGUUAUAGGUCUAUUGUCACCAUCUGUUUCAGCAUGAUCCUUCUUAGGCACUAAAGUGAGUAAAGUUUCAUUCCAUACCUUUAAAAAAAAUCUAGUUCUGAAAAAUUCCAUCACACCAGCUAAAAGGUCAUCCUUAAUGGUAUCCCAACAGUCUUUAAAGAACUGACUGCUAUAGCCAUCUGGACCUGGGACUUUAUCACCUUCUAUCUCACAUAGAGCUGUUUUCAUCUCUUGUUUAGUGAACUCUUCUACAAGCAUCUUCCCGUGCUCCCUCGAUAAUACUGGGCUUUCUUUUACAGUUGAGCUACAAACUCCGGUUCAGUUAGUGCUUAAGGAUCCCAGUAAUGAUGUGUAAAAUUCUACAAAGCUUUGUGCUAAUCCAUGGUAAGUCAUUAAUGAUAUCUCCAUUGUUGUUCCUAAUUAUGAAUAUCAUAUUGGUAUUUCUUCUUGCAUUGAGAAUACUAUGAAAGAACUUUGUGUUCAAGUCUCAACAGUUUAGCCACUGGAUCUUACACUUCUGUUUGAAGUAUUGGUUUAUGGCUAGAUUAUACUUCUGAUACUCUUAUGUUAAUCUCUUUUCAUACUCUAUUAGUUGUAGUUUUUUAGGGUCCUUAUUUAAUUUACUUUGACAUUCCUCUAGCUCCUUCUUGAUCUUUUCUGUGUUGACUUCCACAUCACUGAAGUUUGCUUUGUUUAUUCUCCUAGGUGGAUUGAGUCUGUUCAACUUUCCUACCAAAUCAAAUACUUUUGAACCAUUUAUACCUCUCUCCAAGCUAAGUUUAACUGCCCCCUAAAAGUUUGGUGCCUGACUCCACACGUUGAAGUAUUUAAAUCUGCAUUGGUUUGGUUGCUGCCCAAUUUCCCAAUUUAUCAUUACUGGACAAUGAUCCAUUAACAUUUUAUAAGUGUACUUCAGAGCUUGGUAGGGUGCUAAUCCAGUCACUAUUAACUAGGACUCUAUCAAUUUUACUAUAAACUGUGCUACUGUCCCCAUGCUUGUUAUUCCAUGUGUAGAAUGACCCUGAUGAUCUCAAAUCCUUUAAAGAACAAACUUGAACACAAUUCUUGAAUUCUCUUAUUUCCGACAGAGAAAAAAGACUACCAAUUCUCUCAUCCCUGUUGAGAACACAGUUAAAAUCUCCCAUUGCUGCCCAUGCCCCAUGUUUUGUACCAUGCAUCCCCAUAAGUUGUUGCACAGUUCUCUUCUUAAAACAUAAUCAUUGAACCCAUACACUAGUGUCACCUGAAAUAUCAACCAAGUCCCUCUAUGUAUCAUUUUGCGACCAAAACACUCACACAAGUAUGCACGAUCGACAAGUAAUAUAGUACUAAGUAGAGUAUCGUUCCCACGAGGAAUUAUAAUUAACUUCUUGAUUGAUAACUCAAAUAAUUAUCAAUUUAUGCUAUACUAUUACAAAAGGUUUAAAGAACCAAUUUACAACUCACUUAAUAAGUGCACAAUAAUUCAACACAAAAUUACUACACCAAGUUCACAAUAUGUUUAUAAUAAUUUGGAUAAAUAUAUUCCCGGGUCAUGAACUUGCUAAAAAUUAUGCUACUAUAUUAUCUUAAAAUUGAUUUAUCGAAUUAUCCGGGUUAUUGAUUAUAGGGUUAAUAAUAUUCACAAAGAAUCAUUCGAGUUCUUAUGCAUCUAUUCAAGUUAAAUUAAUACCUAUAUAUCUAUGGUAUUAAUAUUAGCAAAAAUGCAUUUAAAACUCCUAUUCUUCAACCAAACAAGGCAAUUAAGUAUAUGUCUAUCUUAAUUGCGAAUUCUUCACCCGAUGCCCGAGAUUUAAAACUUGUCCUAUUUGAGUCUAUACGAAAUCAAGAAUUUCCUUUGUCAAGUCUAAUUCAAGACUCGUAAAUAAUAUUUCACUGUUAGCUACGCAGUAAAAUAAUUAAGAUUAAAAUCAAAUAAACAACCCAUAACGAUAAAUUCAAUAUAUUCAAUCUAAACUUCAAAUAACAUAAUUAUCUAACGUCCAUGACCCAAGAAUACU
RNAcentral lists this long non-coding RNA (3013 nucleotides) under Nicotiana benthamiana. Its description in RNAcentral is "long non-coding RNA (NBEN_LNC026443)". Lineage: Eukaryota; Viridiplantae; Streptophyta; Magnoliopsida; Solanales; Solanaceae. The record is from RNAcentral.